CCUACGGGUGGCAGCAGUGGGGAAUUUUGGACAAUGGGCGCAAGCCUGAUCCAGCCAUUCCGCGUGCAGGACGAAGGCCUUCGGGUUGUAAACUGCUUUUGUACGGAACGAAAAGGCUCUGGUUAAUACCUGGGGCUCAUGACGGUACCGUAAGAAUAAGCACCGGCUAACUACGUGCCAGCAGCCGCGGUAAUACGUAGGGUGCAAGCGUUAAUCGGAAUUACUGGGCGUAAAGCGUGCGCAGGCGGUGAUGUAAGACAGAUGUGAAAUCCCCGGGCUCAACCUGGGAACUGCAUUUGUGACUGCAUCGCUGGAGUGCGGCAGAGGGGGAUGGAAUUCCGCGUGUAGCAGUGAAAUGCGUAGAUAUGCGGAGGAACACCGAUGGCGAAGGCAAUCCCCUGGGCCUGCACUGACGCUCAUGCACGAAAGCGUGGGGAGCAAACAGGAUUAGAUACCCUGGUAGUCCACGCAGUAAACGAUGAGUGCUAGUUGUCGGGGUCUUAGACUUCGGUGGCGAAGCUAACGCGUUAAGCACUCCGCCUGGGGACUACGAUCGCAAGAUUAAAACUCAAAGGAAUUGACGGA
Molecule: ribosomal RNA, 585 nt
Filed under: uncultured bacterium
Lineage: Bacteria
Description: bacterial SSU rRNA
Rfam family: Bacterial small subunit ribosomal RNA
Source: RNAcentral